RNAcentral lists this ribosomal RNA (306 nucleotides) under uncultured bacterium. RNAcentral describes it as "bacterial SSU rRNA". It matches the Rfam family "Bacterial small subunit ribosomal RNA", at positions 28 to 329 of the family's 1533-position model. The record is from RNAcentral.
GACGAACGCUGGCGGCGCGCCUAACACAUGCAAGUCGAACGAGAGAUGAGGAGCUUGCUCUUCAAAUCGAGUGGCGAACGGGUGAGUAACGCGUGAGGAACCUGCCUCAAAGAGGGGGACAACAGUUGGAAACGACUGCUAAUACCGCAUAAGCCCACGGCUCGGCAUCGAGCAGAGGGAAAAGGAGCAAUCCGCUUUGAGAUGGCCUCGCGUCCGAUUAGCUGGUUGGUGAGGUAACGGCCCACCAAGGCAACGAUCGGUAGCCGGACUGAGAGGUUGAACGGCCACAUUGGGACUGAGANACGG